This is a long non-coding RNA of Hyaena hyaena (striped hyena), 1118 nucleotides long. RefSeq lists it as uncharacterized. Lineage: Eukaryota; Metazoa; Chordata; Mammalia; Carnivora; Hyaenidae. The transcript is spliced from 4 exons. The record is from RefSeq and is a predicted model, not a curated record.
CCGAGGCGCUGCUUGGACUGGAGGUGCUGUGGAAUAAACGGGUGAGAUCCUUGGUGUCAGAGCGCUCGAUCUAAACCAGAGAUUCCCAAAGCCUGAUUCCUGGGACCAGCAGCAUCAGCAACUGCUGUCUCCCUGUUGGUGAAGAUUCUUUCCCAGCAGAGCUGCAGCUGACCCUUAGCCUCCCAGAGUGAGCACUAUUUGGUGUUAUGAGCCAUUGAGAUAUUCCAGUUCUUUGUUCUUGUAAGAAAUGCCAGAAAAUGUCCGUUUCAAGUGCCCAUCAAUGGGAAAAUGUAUCAUGGAAUACCCUCGACCUUCACUGGCCACUCUCAAGCUUUAUCAUUUCCAGUUCGAUUCUGAUGAUGGUCGCGAUGAGAUGCAUAAUUAUAUUGGCAACAGGUGCAUUACUGCCCACUGCUUACAUCACUGUGCCAUCCUGGGCACCGGUCCCAGCUCUGUAACUGCAUGUCUAUAUAUACUUCAUCUCAUACUUGCCACAUGCCAGGGAAGGCGGCAAAAAGCACAAACCCCAGAGUUAGCCUGGAUUCAAGUCUUGACAAGAUUGUUUCCUGUGGGACGGCGAGGAAACUACCUAACCUCUCUGUGCCUCCGUCUCCUCAUCUACAAAAUGGGAAUAGUAACACUCUCUGCACGGGGUUGCUGUGGGCAUCAGGCCCAAAGGGAGGACUUACCAUCACCCCAUGUCGCAGGAGAGGAACUAAACACACAGAGAAGGUAACAACAUGAGCAAGGACACACAGCUGGCAGGAGGCAGAGCCGGGAUGGGCCCGGCACCAAGACCUGAGCAUCCGGGUCGCAGUCUCCUCUCCGAGGAGCCCCAGUAACUACACCUGCCUCCCCGCCCCCACCCCGUCUACUGCCUGUGAUGGGCUCCCGGACACCUAUGGCAAGUGGGCUGCAGAUCAAGGUCUUCGAGGUCCACCGACUGGGGUUGGAGCUGUGGUGUGAGCUUCGGCAUUUAUAAGCUCUGUGACAUCAGGCUAGUUGCUUUCCCUCUCUGAGACUCAGGUCCUGUAUCUGUAAGAUGAGAAUAAUAAUCACACCCGCAUGCCGGGGUUGUUGUGAGGAUUCAACGAGAUAGUGUGUGUAAAGUGGCCAGC